Molecule: long non-coding RNA, 551 nt
Organism: Notolabrus celidotus (New Zealand spotty)
Lineage: Eukaryota; Metazoa; Chordata; Actinopteri; Labriformes; Labridae
Exons: 2
Source: RefSeq, a predicted model, not a curated record
AUUUUAAAAGUUUAUGGAUUUGUGCUAAGUUCCUGCUGCUGCUGAAAUCAUCCCAUUUCCUGAUAUGGAUGUUUCAAAAUAAGGGCACUCCAAAAACAUAAAAAAGUGCAGACUCUGUACAGGACUCUGUACAGAACCCUGUGGACAGAAGAGUGUGUGUGUGUUUCUGAAGGACCGUGAUGUGUGUACUUUAUGUCUUCAAAAUGUCGUCUGCUGAACGUCUGGUGUUAAACGCCACUUUGAGACAGAGCUGGAGAAAUCUUCUGAGGAGGAAUUCAUCAAACGUGCUGUGUGGAGGUCUGGGACUGAAGCUAACAGCCUCCCCCUACCAAAGGCAGCCAUACCACUGCUCAGUGCACUGCAGACUAUGGAGAGGCGUUCACUGAGGGGGAAUAUAUGAAGGAGGCGUUUCUCUGGAGCUCUGAGGGUUCGAUGGCUCACCAAACAAACAGACAAUCAAAUCAAGAAGAGAAGACAUUCCAAUGUCAGCCAGGAGUGCUGAUGUUUGCCUCUAUGGACCAAUAAAAGAACAGAUCUGUUGGAGAGUUGAA